This 383-nucleotide ribosomal RNA is filed under the name uncultured Pseudomonas sp. RNAcentral's name for it is "bacterial SSU rRNA". It matches the Rfam family "Bacterial small subunit ribosomal RNA", at positions 1000 to 1382 of the family's 1533-position model. Lineage: Bacteria; Pseudomonadati; Pseudomonadota; Gammaproteobacteria; Pseudomonadales; Pseudomonadaceae. The record is from RNAcentral.
CCAGAGAUGGAUUGGUGCCUUCGGGAACUCUGACACAGGUGCUGCAUGGCUGUCGUCAGCUCGUGUCGUGAGAUGUUGGGUUAAGUCCGUAACGAGCGCAACCCUUGUCCUUAGUUACCAGCACGUUAUGGUGGGCACUCUAAGGAGACUGCCGGUGACAAACCGGAGGAAGGUGGGGGAUGACGUCAAGUCAUCAUGGCCCUUACGGCCUGGGCUACACACGUGCUACAAUGGUCGGUACAAAGGGUUGCCAAGCCGCGAGGUGGAGCUAAUCCCAUAAAACCGAUCGUAGUCCGGAUCGCAGUCUGCAACUCGACUGCGUGAAGUCGGAAUCGCUAGUAAUCGUGAAUCAGAAUGUCACGGUGAAUACGUUCCCGGGCCUU